This 2086-nucleotide long non-coding RNA is filed under the name Phasianus colchicus (ring-necked pheasant). RNAcentral's name for it is "lncRNA (ENSPCLG00000010012.1)". Lineage: Eukaryota; Metazoa; Chordata; Aves; Galliformes; Phasianidae. The record is from RNAcentral.
GAAUAAUAAGAAUAAUAGGAAUAAUAAUAGGAAUGAUAGGAAUAGGAAUAAAAGGAAUGAUAGGAAUAAUAGGAGUAAUAAUAAUAGGAAUGAUAGGAAUAAUAGGAGUAAUAAUGAUAGGAAUAAUAGGAUUAGGAGUAACAGGAAUUAUAGCAAUAAUAGGAAUGAUAGGAAUGAUAGGAAUUAAUAGGAAUAAUAAUAAUAGGAAUGAUAGGAAUAGGAAUAACAGAAAUGAUAGGAAUGAUAGGAGUAAUAAUAAUAGGAAUAAUAGGAACUAAUAGGAAUAAUAAUAACAGGAAUGAUAGGAAUAAUAGAAGUACUAAUAAUAGGAAUAAUAGGAGUAGGAAUAACAGGAAUAAUAGCAAUAAUAGGAAUUAAAUAGGAAUAAUAAUAAGAGGAAUGAUAGGAAUAAUAGGAGUAAUAAUAAUAGGAAUAAUAGGAUUAGGAGUAACAGGAAUAAUAGGAAUAAUAAGAAUAAUAGGAAUGAUAGGAAUAAUAAUAACAGGAAUGAUAGGAAUAGGAAUAAUAGCAAUAAUAGGAAUAAUAAUAAUAGGAAUGAUAGGAAUAAUAGAAGUACUAAUACUAGGAAUAAUAGGAUUAGGAAUAACAGGAAUAAUAGCAAUAAUAAUAGGAAUAAUAGCAAUAAUAGGAAUAGAAAUAAUAGAAAUGAUAGGAAUAAUAGGAGUAAUAAUAAUAAGAAUAAUAGGAAUAAUAGGAAUAAUAAUAACAGGAAUGAUAGGAAUAGGAAUAAUAGCAAUAAUAGGAAUAAUAGCAAUAAUAAUAAUAGGAAUAAUGGCGAUAAUAGCAAUAAUAGUGGUAGGAAUGAUAAUAAUAGGAACGAUGGGAAUAAUAAUGGUAGGAAUAAUAAUAAUGGGAAUGAUGGGAAUUAGAAAUGAUGGGAAUAAUAGGAAUGAUAGCAACGAUGACGAUAGAAAUAAUAAUAAUAGGAAUGAUGGGAAUAAUAGCAAUAAUAGGGAUACUAAUAGCAAUAAUAGGGAUACCAAUAGCAGGAAUAAUAGGAUCAGCGCAAUUAAUAGCAACAAUAACCCUAAAAAUAACGGCGAUAGGACGGGAGGAGGGCGCUAAUAAGGACCACCCCCCCAAACCCCCCCCCAGUAGCGCAGUUCCCAGUCGGGCAGCGCCGGGAUUCGAACCCGGAUCUCCGCGGUGAUGACGCGCAGCCGGGAUGGGGGGGGAUUUUGGGGGGGGGUCCUGAGAGCGGAUUGUUGGGGGGGGGGGCCGGAAGGCCGCUUAGGGCAACCGCUGGUUGUGCGGUGAAUGAUUGCGGAGCCGGAGGUGAUUUAGGAAGGAGGAGGGCGGCCAUAAAAGCAGCGCGAAGUGCGCGGCUUUUUUCCUCCGGAGUCGCUCAUUAUCGGCUUAUUAAUUAGCGAUAAUUGUGAAUUACGGAGCGCAAUCAACGGCACCGAGCUCCGCUCGCGGCGAAGCUUUCAAGGAAAGCGGGCGGCUCCGAACCCCCCCCCGAUUAUAUUAAAAAAAAAGCGCCGUAUUUUGGCUCGAUUUCCCACUUUUUUCUUUCAAAAUAACGCUGCGCUCGGCGCGCAGCGCGGAAAUAGCGCGCAUAGGGCGGGGGAAGGGCGCAGCUUUUUGGGGUUUUUUCAGCCCGUUUCGGUCAACGGAGGAGAGACGAGAGCGGCCGAAACUCAACGCGCGGCUCCGCCCGCGCAGCGCGGAGAGACGGAGCGCAAUUUGGGUGAGUUUGGGUUUUUUUUAAAAAAAUUACUUUUAUUUCUUCCUUUUUUUUUUUUUUCUCCUCCGUUUUAUGUUUCCCCGUUUUUCCGAUUUUUUUUAAUUUCAUUUUUUUUUUUUAAACGCGCCUUUAUUUUUUUUUUCCCUUUUUUAUUCUUUUCAAUUUUAUUUUUAAUUUUCUGUUUUUUUUUUUUCUUCUGGUUUUUAACGUUUUCUGUUUUUCUUUCGUCCUCUUUUCCUUUUUCUUCGCAUUUUAAAAUAUUGCCUAUUUUCUUUUUUCCUGCUUUAUAAUAUUUUCUAUUUUCCUUUUUUUCCCCUCAUUUUAAAAUAUUUUCUAUUUUCAAAGCAUUUCCACCUUUUAUCCUUUAUAUUUUUUCCC